This 253-nucleotide ribosomal RNA is filed under the name uncultured bacterium. RNAcentral describes it as "partial 16S ribosomal RNA". It matches the Rfam family "Archaeal small subunit ribosomal RNA", at positions 474 to 727 of the family's 1478-position model. The record is from RNAcentral.
UACCAGCACACCGAGUGGUCGGGACGAUUAUUGGGCCUAAAGCAUCCGUAGCCGGUCCUGCAAGUCUUCCGUUAAAUCCAGCUGCUCAACAGAUGGGCUGCGGGGGAUACUACAGGGCUAGGAGGCGGGAGAGGCAAGCGGUACUUUAUGGGUAGGGGUAAAAUCCGUUGAUCCAUAGAAGACCACCAGUGGCGAAGGCGGCUUGCCAGAACGCGCUCGACGGUGAGGGAUGAAAGCUGGGGGAGCAAACCGG